AAGGGCACCACAAGAACGCGUGGAGCAUGUGGCUUAAUUUGACUCAACGCGGGAAAUCUUACCGGGUCCGGACACACUGAGGAUUGACAGAUAUAUGCACAAUUGAGUUUCGGCUCUUUUGUGCUGAAAGAUGCUAGUUCUUUCAUGAUUAUGUGAUAGGUGGUGCAUGGCCGUUCUUAGUUCGUGGAGUGAUCUGUCUGCUUAAUUGCGUAUCAAUAAUAGAGACCUAGUAUACGCGUAGACUCAUGCGGUAGUGACCCCCUCCUUCGUGAGGCGCGUGUCGCAUGUGUGUUAUACGCACUGGUCUCAGAUAGCAACGAACGUGACCGUAUUCUAUUGUUGCAGUGAAAUGUUUGUGUCUCGUGCGCAACGACCCACUGCUUAGCGUGUGUACUGCUUCGGCGGCACCGCGCAUUAAAACUAUAGAGACCGCUGUUUCUUCUUUAAACCAGAGGAAGGAUACGGCAAUAACAGGUCUGUGAUGCCCUCAGAUGUUCCGGGCUGCACACGUGCUACAAUGAUCAUUGCACUGUGCAUCUAACCCAAUGUGCGCGGACGACGACUCGUACUUGUGCUUCGGCGCAUGUAUGAAAUUCGUAUGAGCACGCGCCGAACCUACUUCGAAAGUAAAAUUUCUCAGUGGGUAAUCCAUUAGAAGUAAUGACUCGCAUAGACCAUGGCACACUAUAUGUACGCCCAGGUCUCCCCGCCUAGCCUUUUGUGCGAGUGCAUGCGUAGCUUGUUGUUUCGUACGUGCCUCUCCGUAUUAAUUCGUACGUGGGGAUAGAUCAUUGUUUAAUUGUUGGUCUCGGUCUUAACUAGGAAUGCCUUGUACGGGUCUCUGGUUCAACAUACCACCCGGAAUACGUCCCUGCCCUUUGUACACACCGCCCGUCGCUCUUACCGAUGGAUUAUACUAUGAAUCUAUAGGACUGCCAAAGCCGUAUCACUUGCGUGCCGCUUAGUGGAAAUAUAUAUGAAUAGUGUGAUCUAAAGGAAAGAGAAGUCGUAACAAGGCAUCGGUAGGUGAACCUGCAGAAGGAUCA
This 1046-nucleotide ribosomal RNA is filed under the name Ammonia tepida. RNAcentral's name for it is "SSU rRNA". It matches the Rfam family "Eukaryotic small subunit ribosomal RNA", at positions 1160 to 1828 of the family's 1831-position model. Lineage: Eukaryota; Foraminifera; Rotaliida; Rotaliidae. The record is from RNAcentral.